RNAcentral lists this ribosomal RNA (467 nucleotides) under uncultured bacterium. RNAcentral's name for it is "partial 16S ribosomal RNA". It matches the Rfam family "Bacterial small subunit ribosomal RNA", at positions 28 to 507 of the family's 1533-position model. The record is from RNAcentral.
GACGAACGCUGGCGGCGUGCUUAACACAUGCAAGUCGAACGGAAAGGCCCUGCUUUUGUGGGGUGCUCGAGUGGCGAACGGGUGAGUAACACGUGAGUAACCUGCCCUUGACUUUGGGAUAACUUCAGGAAACUGGGGCUAAUACCGGAUAGGAGCUCCUGCUGCAUGGUGGAGGUUGGAAAGUUUCGGCGGUUGGGGAUGGACUCGCGGCUUAUCAGCUUGUUGGUGGGGUAGUGGCUUACCAAGGCUUUGACGGGUAGCCGGCCUGAGAGGGUGACCGGCCACAUUGGGACUGAGAUACGGCCCAGACUCCUACGGGAGGCAGCAGUGGGGAAUAUUGCACAAUGGGCGGAAGCCUGAUGCAGCAACGCCGCGUGCGGGAUGACGGCCUUCGGGUUGUAAACCGCUUUCGCCUGUGACGAAGCGUGAGUGACGGUAUGGGUAAAGAAGCACCGGCUAACUACGUG